AGUGAACGCUGGCGGCAGGCCUAACACAUGCAAGUCGAACGGCAGCAUAGUGAUUGCUUGCGCAUACGGGUGGCGAGUGGUGGAAGGUGGCGGGAAAUAUGGGAUUCUACUGUUGAGUGGGGGCUAAAACAGGGGAACUUACGCUAAUCGUGCAUACGACCUACGUGGGAGAGCAGGGGAUCUUUGGACCUUGUGCGAGGGUAUGAGCCGAUGUCGGCUGAGCUAGUUGGCGGGGUAAAGGCGCACAGAGGCGACGAUCCGUAACGGGUCUGAGAGGUUGAACAGCCACACUGGAACUGAGACACGGUCCAGACUCCGACGGGAGGCAGCAGUGGGGAAUAUUGGACAAUGGGCGAAAGCCUGAUCCAGCCAUACCGCGUGUGUGAAGAAGGUCUUCGGAUUGUAAAGCCCUUUAGGUUGGAAGGAAGUGCAGCAAGUUAAUACCCUGCUGUUCUGACGGUACCCAAAGAAUAAGCACCGGCUAACUUCGUG
Molecule: ribosomal RNA, 492 nt
Filed under: uncultured bacterium
Lineage: Bacteria
Description: partial 16S ribosomal RNA
Rfam family: Bacterial small subunit ribosomal RNA
Source: RNAcentral